This 319-nucleotide RNase P RNA is filed under the name Limnohabitans curvus. RNAcentral's name for it is "RNase P RNA component class A". It matches the Rfam family "Bacterial RNase P class A". From Rfam's summary of the family: Ribonuclease P (RNase P) is a ubiquitous endoribonuclease, found in archaea, bacteria and eukarya as well as chloroplasts and mitochondria. Its best characterised activity is the generation of mature 5'-ends of tRNAs by cleaving the 5'-leader elements of precursor-tRNAs. Cellular RNase Ps are ribonucleoproteins. The record is from RNAcentral. Lineage: Bacteria; Pseudomonadati; Pseudomonadota; Betaproteobacteria; Burkholderiales; Comamonadaceae.
GAAGCUCGCUAGGCCGUCGCUGGUGCAAUCUGGGAAACCAGGCACUGGAGGAACGUCCGGACUGCGUAGGACAGCGUAAGAGGUAACACCUCUCCACCGUGAGGUGAGGAUUAGAGCAACAGAGACGAGCCGAUUUAGUUCGGGUGAAACGGGCAAUCUCUACGCGCAGCAAUACCAAGUAGGCCAACGUUGAGGCGGUCCGCUGAGUUGGCGGGUAGGUAGCACCGAGCCGAGUGGGCAACCCUCGGCCCAGAUUAAUGACGGUCACGCCGUGGGCAACCACGGUGCACAGAAUCCGGCGUAUCGGCGAGCUUCACAC